RNAcentral lists this ribosomal RNA (660 nucleotides) under Acidovorax sp. 110609_136_C_F5. Its description in RNAcentral is "bacterial SSU rRNA". It matches the Rfam family "Bacterial small subunit ribosomal RNA", at positions 23 to 678 of the family's 1533-position model. The record is from RNAcentral. Lineage: Bacteria; Pseudomonadati; Pseudomonadota; Betaproteobacteria; Burkholderiales; Comamonadaceae.
CUCAGAUUGAACGCUGGCGGCAUGCCUUACACAUGCAAGUCGAACGGCAGCGCGGGAGCAAUCCUGGCGGCGAGUGGCGAACGGGUGAGUAAUACAUCGGAACGUGCCCAAUCGUGGGGGAUAACGCAGCGAAAGCUGUGCUAAUACCGCAUACGAUCUACGGAUGAAAGCAGGGGAUCGCAAGACCUUGCGCGAAUGGAGCGGCCGAUGGCAGAUUAGGUAGUUGGUGAGGUAAAGGCUCACCAAGCCUUCGAUCUGUAGCUGGUCUGAGAGGACGACCAGCCACACUGGGACUGAGACACGGCCCAGACUCCUACGGGAGGCAGCAGUGGGGAAUUUUGGACAAUGGGCGAAAGCCUGAUCCAGCCAUGCCGCGUGCAGGAUGAAGGCCUUCGGGUUGUAAACUGCUUUUGUACGGAACGAAACGGUCUUUUCUAAUACAGAAGGCUAAUGACGGUACCGUAAGAAUAAGCACCGGCUAACUACGUGCCAGCAGCCGCGGUAAUACGUAGGGUGCAAGCGUUAAUCGGAAUUACUGGGCGUAAAGCGUGCGCAGGCGGUUAUGUAAGACAGUUGUGAAAUCCCCGGGCUCAACCUGGGAACUGCAUCUGUGACUGCAUAGCUAGAGUACGGUAGAGGGGGAUGGAAUUCCGCGUGUAG